Non-coding RNA from Pelobates cultripes (western spadefoot toad), 311 nucleotides. The record is from the annotation of a GenBank genome assembly. NCBI's taxonomy places the organism in Eukaryota, Metazoa, Chordata, Amphibia, Anura, Pelobatidae.
UCUAGGCACCCAGACCACUUCAGCUUAAUGAAGUGGUCUGGGUGCCAGGUCCAGCUAGGGUUAACCCAUUUUUUCAUAAACAUAGCAGUUUCAGAGAAACUGCUGUUUAUUAAUGGGUUAAGCCUUCCCCCUAAUCCUCUAGUGGCUGUCUCAUUGACAGCCACUAGAGGCGCUUGCGUGCUUCUCACUGUGAUUUUCACAGUGAGAGCACGCAAGCGUCCAUAGGAAAGCAUUAUGAAUGCUUUCCCAUGUGACCGGCUGAAUGCGCGCGCAGCUUUUGCCGCGCGUGCGCAUUCAGCCCAGGAGGAGGA